UUCCGGUUGAUCCUGCCGGAGGUUACUGCUAUCGGAGUUCGAUUAAGCCAUGCGAGUCUAAAGGUUUCUUCGGAAACCUUGGCGGACUGCUCAGUAACACGUGGAUAACCUACCCUUGGGACUGGAAUAACCCCGGGAAACUGGGGAUAAUACCGGAUAGAUCAGGGAUGCUGGAAUGCACCUUGAUCCAAAGCUCCGGCGCCCAAGGAUGGGUCUGCGGCCUAUCAGGUAGUAGUGGGUGUAACGUACCUACUAGCCAACGACGGGUACGGGUUGUGAGAGCAAGAGCCCGGAGAUGGAUUCUGAGACACGAAUCCAGGGCCUACGGGGUGGCAGCAGGGCGCGAAACCUUUACAAUGUGCGAAAGCAUGAUAAGGGAACUCCGAGUGCCAGCAUCUAAUGUUGGCUGUCCUUGUGCCUAAAACGCACAAGAUAGCAAGGGCCGGGUAAGACCGGUGCCAGCCGCCGCGGUAACACCGGCGGCCCGAGUGGUAGCCGCUAUUAUUGGGUCUAAAGGGUCCGUAGCCGGUUCGAUAAGUCCUCUGGGAAAUCUGGUUGCUUAACAAUCAGACUGCCAAGGGAUACUGUCGAACUUGAGACCGGGAGAGGUAAGAGGUACUUCAGGGGUAGGAGUGAAAUCUUGUAAUCCCUGGGGGACCAUCUGUGGCGAAGGCGUCUUACCAGAACGGGUCUGACGGUGAGGGACGAAAGCUGGGGGCGCAAACCGGAUUAGAUACCCGGGUAGUCCCAGCCGUAAACGAUGCUCGCUAUGUGUCAGGUACGGUGUGACCGUAUCUGGUGCCGUAGGGAAGCCGUGAAGCGAGCCACCUGGGAAGUACGGCCGCAAGGCUGAAACUUAAAGGAAUUGGCGGGGGAGCACUACAACGGGUGGAGCCUGCGGUUUAAUUGGAUUCAACGCCGGA
Molecule: ribosomal RNA, 923 nt
Filed under: uncultured crenarchaeote
Lineage: Archaea; Thermoproteati; Thermoproteota
Description: bacterial SSU rRNA
Rfam family: Archaeal small subunit ribosomal RNA
Source: RNAcentral